AUCUUCCGCAAUGGGCGAAAGCCUGACGGAGCAACGCCGCGUGAGUGAUGAAGGUUUUCGGAUCGUAAAGCUCUGUUGCCAGGGAAGAACGCCUAGGGGAGUAACUGCCCUUAGGGUGACGGUACCUGAGAAGAAAGCCCCGGCUAACUACGUGCCAGCAGCCGCGGUAAUACGUAGGGGGCAAGCGUUGUCCGGAAUUAUUGGGCGUAAAGCGCGCGCAGGCGGCCAUGUAAGUCUGGUAUUUAAUCCCGGGGCUCAACCCCGGUAGCUACCAGAAACUGUGUGGCUUGAGUGCAGAAGAGGAGAGCGGAAUUCCACGUGUAGCGGUGAAAUGCGUAGAGAUGUGGAGGAACACCAGUGGCGAAGGCGGCUCUCUGGUCUGUAACUGACGCUGAGGCGCGAAAGCGUGGGGAGCAAACAGG
This 422-nucleotide ribosomal RNA is filed under the name uncultured bacterium. RNAcentral describes it as "bacterial SSU rRNA". It matches the Rfam family "Bacterial small subunit ribosomal RNA", at positions 361 to 776 of the family's 1533-position model. The record is from RNAcentral.